AGUAACGGCGAGUGAAGCGGCAACAGCUCAAAUUUGAAAUCUGGCGCAAGCCCGAGUUGUAAUUUGUAGAGGAUGUUUCGGGUACCGCCUCGGUUUAAAUUUCUUGGAACAGAAUGUCAAAGAGGGUGAGAAUCCCGUCUUGGACCGGCGGUAGGGCCCAUGUGAAACUCCUUCGACGAGUCGAGUUGUUUGGG
RNAcentral lists this ribosomal RNA (194 nucleotides) under [Candida] sp. RNAcentral's name for it is "Candida sp. (in: Saccharomycetales) partial large subunit ribosomal RNA". It matches the Rfam family "Eukaryotic large subunit ribosomal RNA", at positions 82 to 278 of the family's 3401-position model. The record is from RNAcentral. Lineage: Eukaryota; Fungi; Ascomycota; Saccharomycetes; Saccharomycetales.